Molecule: long non-coding RNA, 411 nt
Organism: Scylla paramamosain (green mud crab)
Lineage: Eukaryota; Metazoa; Arthropoda; Malacostraca; Decapoda; Portunidae
Exons: 3
Source: RefSeq, a predicted model, not a curated record
CUGUUUUGACGUGGUACUGCACAUGCGUAGAGAAGUAACUCGCUAAAAUAAAUCUCCGUCCAAGUAUUUCUCGCUACGCAGCUCGUCUACGUGUUCGUCUUUCAUCACCGCGUCUCUCACUUUCAAGCUUAACUUUCCUCAAUGGUGUGUGCGCAUAACUAUUUCUCAUAAGGAAGCCUUCGAGAGAUUCAUAUGCAAGACGGAUGAUCCCAGAGUAACUAUCAUGGCUCAAGAGGUACUCUUGGUGUCCUUGGGACCGCGAGCCUGGUCGAGUGAUGAUGCUUUUGGAUGUGCCCAAGACUUCCUCCUCCACGCUGGUGACGAGGCCGACCGAAGAUGAAGAGAAGAAAAUAGGAAAAAAAGGAGGAGGAGGAGGAGGAGGAGGAGGAGGAGGAGGAGGAGGAGGAGGAG